Long non-coding RNA from Mastomys coucha (southern multimammate mouse), 3540 nucleotides. RefSeq lists it as uncharacterized. The record is from RefSeq and is a predicted model, not a curated record. NCBI's taxonomy places the organism in Eukaryota, Metazoa, Chordata, Mammalia, Rodentia, Muridae. The transcript has 3 exons.
CGACCUCCACCAGAGCCCACUGCGCUCUGCGCGCCUCAGCACUGGGGCUGGGGACAGCAGCGCCUGCCCAGCCGCGUCGCCACCCUCAGCCAGGUGCCGCGGUGGCCAGACGGCUGCACACGGCCAAGGUCGGAGCGCCUGGCGCCUCGAGGCCAUGCUAGGGGGGUCGAGCACCGCCGUGGAGUGGGCUCCCUGGAAGGCAGUAAGCUUCCCGUACCUUGAGGUGGCCAAAAAGAGUUGGAUGCCCUCAGGUGGGCUCUGGAAAGAUCUGAAGAGGUGGGAGGUUGAACUAAAUGACGUUCAAGGCCUGCCUCUUCCAGCUGCAAGGUUCUCCGCAGACCUGCACUAGACCUGGCUCCCUCAGGACUGGGGUGCGCUCAGAGCUCCGGGGCUGUAGUGCUCACUUCUCCGGCUACCAUCACCGGAGCUUGGCGCUGGGUCCCCUGCCUCCUCGUCAGGCUCCUCCCCCCUGCCACUGGACGGCACCAUCCAUCCAGCUCUUCAGUGCCCCAGUGAGUUGCAUCUCCCACACCCACGUCACACUCAUUUGCAGACCCUCAAUACUGAAGCAGGUCCCCAUACAACACACUCCAGCUAGCACACGUCACGCCCUUGAGGGUCAUAGGGACAGUUGCCUAAUUCGUCGAAGCACUCUUUCAUAUUGCAGGGCAUCUUUACCCUUCAGUCUUCCCCAACCCGGAAGCAAGUGUCCUGACCUUUCCUAAUGUCACCCAGCUCAUGGCCGUUCUUCCCCCGAACCCCACUAUUUGUGUUCACUUCUGCCACCCAUAGUCUAUCACCUGGCCAGUUCUUAAGACUCGUCAUGCCCUGUGAGGACAAGGACACUGUAUGCCUUCAGUACAGCUCAGCACCUGUACAUGCUACCUCCUCAUAACUGUUGGUUGAAUGACUGUGUGAAUUGUAGGCUUCCUGUGUCAAAAUCUAUAGUCUCCAAAUGAUGCUCCCAGCUUGACUAAGGACAAGACCAUUUUAGAGAAAGGCCCCAACUUCAAGAGUUGUAUGGCACUACCUCUAAAGAGCAGCCGCCUGCCACUGAACACACUUUCAUCUUGUAAAGUAACUUGUACUGUCCCUACUUUCCUGUGAAGAAACCCAUGCUUGGGCUGGGGGUGAAACUUGGUGGGAGAGCAUUUGCCUGGUAAUCUCCAAGUCUUGGCUUCAGUCUUCAACACCACAAACAAAAAGCCUACCAUGAGGCUGGAGAGAUGGCUCAGCUGUCCAAAGCUCUGGCUGCUAUGCCAGAGGACCUGGGUUCAAUUCUCAGCACCCACAUGCCAGUCCACAACUGUUUAUUAACUUCAGAUCCAGGGGAUAUGGCUGGGCUUAUCACAUGGUACACAGACACAGGUGCAAGAAAAACAUGCUUAUGCGCAUAAUUAUUUAAAGCCGUCAAGGCUUAACCCUGAGUUGGGAAGUGGCAGAGCAAGAGUUAAGUCCAGGUUCAUUUGACUCAGAUCAGCAUAUUACAGUGAGAAGAAGCCAAAACUGACCAAGAGAGCCAAAUGUAAGCCUGUAUUCAGUACUGAUGGUGCUGUCAUUGGAGCCUUGAAGGUGUACAUCUAAAAGGAGAGAAAGCAAGCCACACAUCUGUAAUCCCAGUUCUCAGGAGGCAGAGGCAGAAGGACAGCUGACAAAGCCAGCCUGGUCUACAUGGUGAGGUUUAGGGUACCUGGAGCUACACAGGCAGACCUUGUCUCCAACAAACAGGGUAAGAAGCAGGGGCGUCUAUGUUUGUGCAACAAUGUUUCUAACUAUUUGCAGUAGCUGCAGAAUGGGAACAACCUGAAUGUCCACCCACCAAUGGAUAGAUGGAUAAGCAUGAUGUAGUAUCAUAUAUGCAGUGGCAUAGUAUGGAGGCUUGAAAGGGAAGUUCUGAUACGGACUGCAACAGGGGUGAACCUUGAGGGCAUCACACCAAGUACACUAAGCCAGUCACAGACACUAAUGUCGAAUGGUUCUAUUUACCUGAGGUGCCUAGAGUAGUCAAAUCUGUGAACACAAAAUAGAAUCUUAGCUACCUGGGUCUGGAUGGGGGGCACGACAAAGUGGUUAACUGCUAGAGCAUCAUCCAGAAAUGAAAGCUUUCUAGAGAUGGGUUGAUGGGGUAUGCACUAAUACAGUUUAAAACAGUGACAUUUGAGUCAGGCAGUGGUGGCACAUGCCUUUAAUCCCAGCACUUGGGAGGCAGAGGCAGGCAGAUUUCUGAGUUCGAGGCCAGCCUGGUCUAGAGUGAGUUCCAGGACUGCCAGGGCUACACAGAGAAACCCUGUCUCAAAACAAAACAAAACAAAACAAAACAAAAAAACUAAACCAAACUGACAUUUGUGUUACUUGUAUUCUACUUCGAUAAAACAGUGUAAAGUCACUAUAAGUGUCAUGGAUCCUUUGUGGGUUUGCCGUGCCCAUGAAUAACCAGAGCCUCUGACCUAAAGAAAGCCACCAUCUAAGGGGAAGCACCAGAGGAUGUCCUCUUGAAGGAUAAAACCAGACAUACAGCUCCAUUCAACUACAAAAUCUAGAGACCAAAAGUAACAGAGGACCUCAAAGACCAGAUAUCUUAGGCUGAAGAUGUAAUGUAAUGCUUACCUCGUGUGCACCAGAGCCGCAGAAACUGGUGCGACACACAUCUAUAAUUCUAACACAUAAUAGGGAGAAGCAGGAGGAACAUACGUUCAUACGUUCAAAGUCAUCACAAGGAGACCAGCCUGAGCUAACUGAAACCUUGUCUGUCUGUCUGUCUGUCUGUCUGUCUGAAAUUACUAGCUGCAGAAGGGGCUUUUUGGAUCCUCUCCCUGGCAACAUGAUCCCUGACAUUGUCUACACAGGGACCUUAGCUGAAAACAGCCCUCAUCUGAUCUGAGAGGGCCACAGUAGGGCUAUCCCAGAGUACCCGCACUGCCAACCCUGGGUCUGUCAUCAGCUCAUCAAAUGCCCCAUGCCUCCCCACUCACCCCCCUGACCUCCACACCGCACUCACUACCCUCCCUGCUUGGUGAAGUCACCCCACCCCAACCCCAGCGACUCGCUAUUCCCGUUGUCCUCAAGUCACACCAGCCAAGAGAAGGGCAUCGUCAACCACUAUGGAUGUUGGCUCCUCAUCUGCACCAAAUGGUCAUGCUUCCACCUGCCUUCCAGGGAAGGUCCCCAUGCUGUUCCGAGAGAUAACAUCCCAACCAAAUUAAACAUAGGACCCAGGAAGCUCAAGGAUGGGGACUUGGGGUCAGGGCCAUCCUGUAGCUGAGGCAAGGAUCCUGCCUGUACCUCCUCAGUCCUGGGAUUACAAGCAUAUACCGCCAGAUCCUCCUGUAAGCAAACUCCACCCAGCCUUCAAAGGUAAACCUGUCUUGGGUUUGGAUUCCCCUGCCUCUGAAUCCCAGUAGAACUUCUGAAAGCUCCUGAAGUCUCCGGGGAACAGACCUUCUGGUCUUUUAGUCACUAACCCAGAGCCUCAAAGUCUGAGGCACACUUUUGUUUUCUUUCUAUUGUCAUCUGAAUAGAAUCAUUCCAACCCAAUGGCUC